Acanthosepion pharaonis is the source of this 112-nucleotide non-coding RNA. NCBI's taxonomy places the organism in Eukaryota, Metazoa, Mollusca, Cephalopoda, Sepiida, Sepiidae. The record is from the annotation of a GenBank genome assembly.
UACGGUUAUAUCACAUUGAAACGCCAGUUCUCCUAUGAUUACCAAAGUUAAGCAGCAUUGAGCCUGGUCAGUACAUAGAUGGGUGACUGCUUGUGAAUACCAGGUACUGUAA